RNAcentral lists this small nucleolar RNA (44 nucleotides) under Brugia malayi. Its description in RNAcentral is "RNA transcript Bm16792". Lineage: Eukaryota; Metazoa; Nematoda; Chromadorea; Rhabditida; Onchocercidae. The record is from RNAcentral.
AGAUAUUUGCUUUCAGCUUAAUUGAAUAAUUUUUAUGCAUUGCA